Long non-coding RNA from Rattus norvegicus (Norway rat), 1189 nucleotides. RefSeq lists it as uncharacterized. NCBI's taxonomy places the organism in Eukaryota, Metazoa, Chordata, Mammalia, Rodentia, Muridae. The record is from RefSeq and is a predicted model, not a curated record.
UGUCCAGCAGGAACUUCAGAGCCAAUGGAGGCUUAGGCUGUGGUUUCUGUCCUGGGACCCAGCAGUGGCCACUUCACACAGUCAAGAGUCAAGCAGGGGAAAAUGGCUUUAAUUGCAUCUGUCCUUGAUUGAGCACUCCUUGUGUUUUAUGUCCCUGCCUUUCCUCAACUCUGUGACUUUCUGUACCAAUAACAUCUCCAUGCUCGUUUGCAAGCUCGCAAGCCCAAGAGUGAACAUGCAUGCAGAACUCCUUAACACCAAACAAGGCCUCUACUUUCCUGUCAGCCUCAGGAGCGAGUCAUGCUAUAGCUGCCCAGAGAAGAAGUUGCUGCUGGUGCUGCUGGUGCUGGUGCUGCUGCUAUGAGGAAAGUGACAUCCUACAGGAAGAAAUCUCCAUGUCCAAAAGCAUCAAUGGCUGCCUGAAGAGGGUACCCACAACAAUGUGUUUUGAUUCAUAGAGGCUGGAGACAACAUGGAUCACAGUUCCCAUGGAAAUCUCUGCCAGUGUUUUUGCUUGAUUCAGCCAAUUAUCUUAGCAACCAUCAACAGCACCUUGCCUCCUCCCCUUCCCGUGACAAGCACAUUCUUAGCUCAUUUUAGUUGAAAAAGAAGCCCAUCUGUUCGGUGAUAUUAAAUUCAGAGAGGUGUUCUUGUGAAAUGUUUGGCCUUCUCUUUUAAACGCUUGACAAUAUGCCACAGUUACAAGAGGAGAAUGAAGGAAAGAGAGAAGAGAAGAGUCUAAGAAAAUUAGUUUAUUUCCUAUAUUCCCUGGGGCUCUUGGUUACGAAUUACUGAUAAUUUCUUAUCCUUAUGAUAAUGAUGGGGCUCCAGGAAAGAAAAAUGUUCCAAAUGAAGACAGGAUGUUGGAUGAGACUGGGAUUUCAGUCCUAGACACUACAGAAAGAAAGCCAACCCAUCACAACCAAUUAUCUCAAAGACAAAGCCUAUUGGAAACAUCUAGAGUCACGUGACGGUCCGGAUGGUGAGAGCCAAAGUGAUCGCUAGAAAGCUGAAUGCUGAGAUCAGAGUCCUGAUGGCUGCUCACCCCUCUGCGGCCUAUUUACAGAGAUUCAAUGUGACCAGUUGGUUCAAGCUCUUGUCACCAUGGCCAUGGCUUCUUCAGUGUAAUGGAGUGUUCUUUUGAACUCUGAGGCAAAUAAAUUCUUCCUUCCUUGAGUUGCUUCUGCUG